Molecule: unclassified non-coding RNA, 327 nt
Filed under: soil metagenome
Description: partial contains 5.8S ribosomal RNA, internal transcribed spacer 2, and large subunit ribosomal RNA
Rfam family: 5.8S ribosomal RNA (bases 1-120)
Source: RNAcentral
GAUGAAGAACGUAGUGAAAUGCGAUAAGUAAUGUGAAUUGCAGAAUUUAGUGAAUCAUCGAAUCUUUGAACGCACAUUGCGCCCUUUGGUAUUCCGAAGGGCAUGCCUGUUCGAGCGUCAUUAUAACCACUCAAGCCUUUGCUUGGUAUUGGGGUUCGCGGUCUCGCGGCCCCUAAAAUCAGUGGCGGUGCCUGUCGGCUCUACGCGUAGUAAUACUCCUCGCGAUUGAGACCGGUGGGUAGCUUGCCAACAACCCUAAUUUUCUCAGGUUGACCUCGGAUCAGGUAGGGAUACCCGCUGAACUUAAGCAUAUCAAUAAGCGGAGGA